GGGAACGGGGGGGUGGCUAAUACAUGCAGUCGAACGCGUUGGCCCAAUUGAUUGAUGGUGCUUGCACCUGAUUGAUUUUGGUCGCCAACGAGUGGCGGACGGGUGAGUAACACGUAGGUAACCUGCCCAGAAGCGGGGGACAACAUUUGGAAACAGAUGCUAAUACCGCAUAACAGCGUUGUUCGCAUGAACAACGCUUAAAAGAUGGCUUCUCGCUAUCACUUCUGGAUGGACCUGCGGUGCAUUAGCUUGUUGGUGGGGUAACGGCCUACCAAGGCGAUGAUGCAUAGCCGAGUUGAGAGACUGAUCGGCCACAAUGGGACUGAGACACGGCCCAUACUCCUACGGGAGGCAGCAGUAGGGAAUCUUCCACAAUGGGCGCAAGCCUGAUGGAGCAACACCGCGUGAGUGAAGAAGGGUUUCGGCUCGUAAAGCUCUGUUGUUAAAGAAGAACACGUAUGAGAGUAACUGUUCAUACGUUGACGGUAUUUAACCAGAAAGUCACGGCUAACUACGUGCCAGCAGCCGCGGUAAUACGUAGGUGGCAAGCGUUAUCCGGAUUUAUUGGGCGUAAAGAGAGUGCAGGCGGUUUUCUAAGUCUGAUGUGAAAGCCUUCGGCUUAACCGGAGAAGUGCAUCGGAAACUGGAUAACUUGAGUGCAGAAGAGGGUAGUGGAACUCCAUGUGUAGCGGUGGAAUGCGUAGAUAUAUGGAAGAACACCAGUGGCGAAGGCGGCUACCUGGUCUGCAACUGACGCUGAGACUCGAAAGCAUGGGUAGCGAACAGGAUUAGAUACCCUGGUAGUCCAUGCCGUAAACGAUGAGUGCUAGGUGUUGGAGGGUUUCCGCCCUUCAGUGCCGGAGCUAACGCAUUAAGCACUCCGCCUGGGGAGUACGACCGCAAGGUUGAAACUCAAAGGAAUUGACGGGGGCCCGCACAAGCGGUGGAGCAUGUGGUUUAAUUCGAAGCUACGCGAAGAACCUUACCAGGUCUUGACAUCUUGCGCCAACCCUAGAGAUAGGGCGUUUCCUUCGGGAACGCAAUGACAGGUGGUGCAUGGUCGUCGUCAGCUCGUGUCGUGAGAUGUUGGGUUAAGUCCCGCAACGAGCGCAACCCUUGUUACUAGUUGCCAGCAUUAAGUUGGGCACUCUAGUGAGACUGCCGGUGACAAACCGGAGGAAGGUGGGGACGACGUCAGAUCAUCAUGCCCCUUAUGACCUGGGCUACACACGUGCUACAAUGGACGGUACAACGAGUCGCGAACUCGCGAGGGCAAGCAAAUCUCUUAAAACCGUUCUCAGUUCGGACUGCAGGCUGCAACUCGCCUGCACGAAGUCGGAAUCGCUAGUAAUCGCGGAUCAGCAUGCCGCGGUGAAUACGUUCCCGGGCCUUGUACACACCGCCCGUCACACCAUGAGAGUUUGUAACACCCAAAGUCGGUGGGGUAACCUUUUAGGAGCCAGCCGCGUAAGUGACAGAUUGG
Molecule: ribosomal RNA, 1483 nt
Filed under: Limosilactobacillus fermentum
Lineage: Bacteria; Bacillati; Bacillota; Bacilli; Lactobacillales; Lactobacillaceae
Description: bacterial SSU rRNA
Rfam family: Bacterial small subunit ribosomal RNA
Source: RNAcentral